GUACACACCGCCCGUCAAGUCACGAAAGUUGGUAACACCCGAAGCCGGUGGCCUAACCCCUUGUGGGAGGGAGCCGUCGAAGGUGGGACUGGCGAUUGGGACUAAGUCGUAACAAGGUAGCCGUACCGGAAGGUGCGGCUGGAUCACCUCCUUUCUAAGGAG
This 162-nucleotide ribosomal RNA is filed under the name Priestia megaterium. Its description in RNAcentral is "Bacillus megaterium partial 16S ribosomal RNA". It matches the Rfam family "Bacterial small subunit ribosomal RNA", at positions 1383 to 1533 of the family's 1533-position model. Lineage: Bacteria; Bacillati; Bacillota; Bacilli; Caryophanales; Bacillaceae. The record is from RNAcentral.